CUUCUACCCGGGGGCUUCAGUGCAUCUGGCUUUAUCUCUGGGGUGCUUCCAUACAAAGGGGACAGAAGAAACGAUGGAAGGCCUCAGCACUGCAGGAGGGGAGACGGAUGUCAUCUACAAUCACACAAUACAUGGGAGGUCACAGGGUCUCAGGCCGGGUGCAGUGGCUCACGCCUCUACUCUCAGCACUUUGGGAGGCCGAGGUCUACAACAUCCAGAGCAGCCACAUUGCAAGUGCUCAGUAGCCACAUGUGGCCAGCACACAUGGCCCAUGGCAACUGUGCUGGACACGAACGCCAGGGUGACGUAACAGUUCAAACCAUGGAAAGGUAACAGAGCCCUUGGCACGUCUCAACAUGUGGUGACACAGCUAAUAACCUGUGAUGCACACAUGGGAGCAAAUGCAUAGAAAAACUUGUCAAUGACACGGCAAAGUAAAACCCAAAUGAAGCCAGGUGAAAGAAUGGGCUGCAGCGCAGGCAAAACUGCACCACGUUACAGACUGCUCGCCUGGGAUGGAACGGUGGGGAGGUGCGCAGACGGAUGGACAAGCGCCUGGCAAAAUGGAUUUGGUUUCCUAGACCGCUAAUGCAACCAACAGUUCCCUCCUCACAGGGUCGCUAUAACGAGGUAACAUAAACAGCACUUAGAAGACGGCCUGACCCAGAAUAACACUAAUGUUCAUAUGGCUGCGACUCUCAGACCAAAAUCAAUGGCCGGUAUCUACUGAAACUUCAGCAAGACGAAACCACG
Molecule: long non-coding RNA, 753 nt
Filed under: Pongo abelii (Sumatran orangutan)
Lineage: Eukaryota; Metazoa; Chordata; Mammalia; Primates; Hominidae
Description: lincRNA
Source: RNAcentral